AAUGGCACAUUCAGUGCUAAAAUUGCAAUGAUACAGAGAAAGUUAGCAUGGCACCUGGGUAAGGAUGAUAGGAAAACUCAUGAAGCAUUCCAUAUUCUU
Molecule: small nuclear RNA, 99 nt
Filed under: Phascolarctos cinereus (koala)
Lineage: Eukaryota; Metazoa; Chordata; Mammalia; Diprotodontia; Phascolarctidae
Source: RNAcentral